CAAAUAAAAAUAUACUUCACCGAAAAUAUAACGUAACCAAUUUACUAUAGUAAUAUGCAAAAUGUGAUGUUACAUAUGAAAAUAAAUAAAAUACUUUUUCAGCAUACUUUUUUACCACACUUUAGCAUAAUUUUCUCACAAUGUAAAACAAAGUUGUAGUCAUCAAUUAAGAAAUAAUUUUCCAGACCGACUAGACGAGGAUUAGGGAUGCAAACGGAAUAGAGCCGGAAAUAAGAGGGUCACUCACCUCCUGCUCCAUUUCUUGUCAAGUUAGGACGGAUUCCGGGCGGAUUUAUUUUAUUUCUAUUUUUCGUUCCCAUUUAUCUCUCCGUUCAUGAUAGAUUGAGAAGUGUUAAAUAUAAAAAAAAUGUAAAUAGUAUUCUCUAAUAGUUUAAAUUUUUAGAGUACAACGGUUAUUUAACAAGCUUUGAUACUAUGUGAAACAACCGUUGUACUCUAAAAACUUAAGCUUGAUUAUUUCAUUUAUUUCAUAUGAUAUCAGAGCAGUGGAUCCUUAAUUCGAGUCACGCUAGACUCCUAACAUUAUUAAUUUUCUUUCAUUUAAUUCAAAUUCAUAUCAUAGACCUUAUAAAAAGUCUCAAGCCCAGAUAUGAGAAAAAAUAUUAAAUAUUAAAAUAU
This 639-nucleotide long non-coding RNA is filed under the name Ananas comosus (pineapple). RNAcentral's name for it is "long non-coding RNA (ACOM_LNC035900)". Lineage: Eukaryota; Viridiplantae; Streptophyta; Magnoliopsida; Poales; Bromeliaceae. The record is from RNAcentral.